CACGUAGUUAGCCGUGGCUUUCUGAUUAGGUACCGUCGAGACGUGCACAGUUACUUACACAUUUGUUCUUCCCUAAUAACAGAGUUUUACGAUCCGAAGACCUUCAUCACUCACGCGGCGUUGCUCCGUCAGGCUUUCACCCAUUGCGGAAGAUUCCCUACUGCUGCCUCCCGUAGGAGUCUGGACCGUGUCUCAGUUCCAGUGUGGCCGAUCACCCUCUCAGGUCGGCUACGUAUCGUUGCCUUGGUAAGCCAUUACCCCACCAACUAGCUAAGUACGGCGCGGGUCCAUCUAUAAGUGAUAGCAAAACCAUCUUUCACUUUAGAACCAUGCGGUUCUAAAUAUUAUCCGGCAUUAGCCCGGUUUCCCGAGUUACUUCCAGUCUUAUAGGUAGGUUACCCACGUGUUACUCUACCCGUCCGACCGCUAACGUCAAAGGAGCAAGCUUCCUUAGUCUGUUCGCUCGACUUUGCAAGUGUAAUUAGGCUAGGCCCGCCAGCCGUUCAUCCUGACGCAGGAUCAAAACU
RNAcentral lists this ribosomal RNA (527 nucleotides) under uncultured Staphylococcus sp. RNAcentral describes it as "partial 16S ribosomal RNA". The record is from RNAcentral. Lineage: Bacteria; Bacillati; Bacillota; Bacilli; Caryophanales; Staphylococcaceae.